ACGGAUAACAUACCGAAAGGUAUGCUAAUACGGGAUAAUAUAUUUGAGAGGCAUCUCUUAAAUAUCAAAGGUGAGCCAGUACAGGAUGGACCCGCGUCUGAUUAGCUAGUUGGUAAGGUAACGGCUUACCAAGGCAACGAUCAGUAGCCGACCUGAGAGGGUGAUCGGCCACAUUGGAACUGAGACACGGUCCAAACUCCUACGGGAGGCAGCAGUGGGGAAUAUUGCACAAUGGGCGAAAGCCUGAUGCAGCAACGCCGCGUGAGUGAUGAAGGCCUUCGGGUCGUAAAACUCUGUCCUCAAGGAAGAUAAUGACGGUACUUGAGGAGGAAGCCCCGGCUAACUACGUGCCAGCAGCCGCGGUAAUACGUAGGGGGCUAGCGUUAUCCGGAUUUACUGGGCGUAAAGGGUGCGCAGGCGGUCUUUCAAGUCAGGAGUGAAAGGCUACGGCUCAACCGUAGUAAGCUCUUGAAACUGGGAGACUUGAGUGCAGGAGAGGAGAGUGGAAUUCCUAGUGUAGCGGUGAAAUGCGUAGAUAUUAGGAGGAACACCAGUUGCGAAGGCGGCUCUCUGGACUGUAACUGACGCUGAGGCACGAAAGCGUGGGGAGCAAACAGGAUUAGAUACCCUGGUAGUCCACGCUGUAAACGAUGAGUACUAGGUGUCGGGGGUUACCCCCUUCGGUGCCGCAG
This 692-nucleotide ribosomal RNA is filed under the name uncultured bacterium. Its description in RNAcentral is "bacterial SSU rRNA". It matches the Rfam family "Bacterial small subunit ribosomal RNA", at positions 139 to 851 of the family's 1533-position model. The record is from RNAcentral.